Molecule: long non-coding RNA, 453 nt
Organism: Arachis duranensis
Lineage: Eukaryota; Viridiplantae; Streptophyta; Magnoliopsida; Fabales; Fabaceae
Exons: 4
Source: RefSeq, a predicted model, not a curated record
CAGGAACCUGAAUUAUUUACAACUGCUCCUGCCCUUGCAAUACCAAAAGCUAUAUCAAAUGCUGGUCUAGAGGCUUCUCAAAUUGAUUAUUAUGAAAUAAAUGAAGCUUUUUCUGUUGUGUCUCUUGCAAAUCAGAAGCUUCUUCGUCUUAGUCCUGACAAACUUAAUGUACAUGGUGGAGCUGUAUCAUUAGGCCAUCUACUGGGUUGCAGCGGGGCUCGAAUCCUAGUUACAUUAAUAGGGGUAUUAAGAUAGAAGAAUGGGAGAUAUGGCAUUGCUGGCAUCUACAAUGGCGGAAGCGGAGCAUCUGCACUUGUCCUUGAGCUCAUGUAAGCACUUUUUUACCUUGCCAAAUAACAUUACUCUAUCCCUUGGAAUAUAUUAUUUCAACUCAUUGAAAACCUUAGUUGAAUCAAGUAUUCAUCUUGCUAUUCUUUUUUUCUAUGUAUAUCU